RNAcentral lists this small RNA (477 nucleotides) under uncultured Glomus. RNAcentral's name for it is "SSU rRNA". It matches the Rfam family "Eukaryotic small subunit ribosomal RNA", at positions 569 to 1052 of the family's 1831-position model. Lineage: Eukaryota; Fungi; Glomeromycota; Glomeromycetes; Glomerales; Glomeraceae. The record is from RNAcentral.
AGCAGCCGCGGUAAUUCCAGCUCCAAUAGCGUAUAUUAAAGUUGUUGCAGUUAAAAAGCUCGUAGUUGAAUUUCGGGAUCAAUAUGUUGGUCGUGCCUUGGUACGUACUGGCAUUAUCGAUUCCUACCUUCUGAAGAACCUCGAUGUCAUUAAUUUGGUGUCUUGGGGAAUCAGGACUGUUACUUUGAAAAAUUAGAGUGUUUAAAGCAGGCUCGCGCUUGAAUACAUUAGCAUGGAAUAAUGAAAUAGGACGUUUGAUUCUAUUUUGUUGGUUUCUAGGAUCGACGUAAUGAUUAAUAGGGAUAGUUGGGGGCAUUAGUAUUCAAUUGUCAGAGGUGAAAUUCUUGGAUUUAUUGAAGACUAACUACUGCGAAAGCAUUUGCCAAGGAUGUUUUCAUUAAUCAAGAACGAAAGUUAGGGGAUCGAAGACGAUCAGAUACCGUCGUAGUCUUAACCAUAAACUAUGCCGACUAGGGA